UACAGAGGGUGCGAGCGUUAAUCGGAAUUACUGGGCGUAAAGCGCGCGUAGGCGGCUUUGCAAGUCGGGUGUGAAAUCCCCAGGCUUAACCUGGGAACUGCAUUCGAGACUGCAUUGCUAGAGUACGGAAGAGGCAAGUGGAAUUCCUGGUGUAGCGGUGGAAUGCGCAGAUAUCAGGAGGAACACCCAUAGCGAAGGCAGCUUGCUGGGACGUUACUGACGCUAAGGCGCGAAAGCGUGGGGAGCGAACAGG
Molecule: ribosomal RNA, 253 nt
Filed under: uncultured bacterium
Lineage: Bacteria
Description: partial 16S ribosomal RNA
Rfam family: Bacterial small subunit ribosomal RNA
Source: RNAcentral